RNAcentral lists this ribosomal RNA (1082 nucleotides) under Lactobacillus sp. AB5282. RNAcentral's name for it is "bacterial SSU rRNA". It matches the Rfam family "Bacterial small subunit ribosomal RNA", at positions 8 to 1057 of the family's 1533-position model. The record is from RNAcentral. Lineage: Bacteria; Bacillati; Bacillota; Bacilli; Lactobacillales; Lactobacillaceae.
AGAGUUUGAUCCUGGCUCAGGACGAACGCUGGCGGCGUGCCUAAUACAUGCAAGUCGAGCGAGCUGAAUUCAAAGAUUCCUUCGGGAUGAUUUGUUGGACGCUAGCGGCGGAUGGGUGAGUAACACGUGGGCAAUCUGCCCUAAAGACUGGGAUACCACUUGGAAACAGGUGCUAAUACCGGAUAACAACAUGAAUCGCAUGAUUCAAGUUUGAAAGGCGGCGCAAGCUGUCACUUUAGGAUGAGCCCGCGGCGCAUUAGCUAGUUGGUGGGGUAAAGGCCUACCAAGGCAAUGAUGCGUAGCCGAGUUGAGAGACUGAUCGGCCACAUUGGGACUGAGACACGGCCCAAACUCCUACGGGAGGCAGCAGUAGGGAAUCUUCCACAAUGGACGCAAGUCUGAUGGAGCAACGCCGCGUGAGUGAAGAAGGUUUUCGGAUCGUAAAGCUCUGUUGUUGGUGAAGAAGGAUAGAGGCAGUAACUGGUCUCUAUUUGACGGUAAUCAACCAGAAAGUCACGGCUAACUACGUGCCAGCAGCCGCGGUAAUACGUAGGUGGCAAGCGUUGUCCGGAUUUAUUGGGCGUAAAGCGAGCGCAGGCGGAAUGAUAAGUCUGAUGUGAAAGCCCACGGCUCAACCGUGGAACUGCAUCGGAAACUGUCAUUCUUGAGUGCAGAAGAGGAGAGUGGAACUCCAUGUGUAGCGGUGGAAUGCGUAGAUAUAUGGAAGAACACCAGUGGCGAAGCGGCUCUCUGGUCUGCAACUGACGCUGAGGCUCGAAAGCAUGGGUAGCGAACAGGAUUAGAUACCCUGGUAGUCCAUGCCGUAACGAUGAGCGCUAGGUGUUGGGGACUUUCCGGGUCCUCAUGCCGCAGCAAACGCAUUAAGCGCUCCGCCUGGGGAUUACGACCGCAAGGUUGAAACUCGAACGAAAUUGAACGGGGCCGCACAAGCGUUGAGCAUGUGGUUUAAUUCUAAACAACGCGAAAACCUUACCAGGUCUUGACAUCCUGUGCACAGCUAGAGAAUAGCUGGUUUCUCUUCGAAAGACCAAAAACGGGGUGGUGGCCAUGCUGGCCUUUCA